This 1407-nucleotide long non-coding RNA is filed under the name Solanum tuberosum (potato). Its description in RNAcentral is "long non-coding RNA (STUB_LNC006402)". Lineage: Eukaryota; Viridiplantae; Streptophyta; Magnoliopsida; Solanales; Solanaceae. The record is from RNAcentral.
UCUUUUUCUUUUCCUUAAAAACGUCGUUCUCUUUUAAUUUCAGAUACUAUCUCCUAAAAAUAAUCUCUUCAUCUAGAGCUUCAUCCCAGCAAACAUAAAGAAGGUAUGAAGUACUUUUCCUUUUAAGUUUUCAGCAUCCCAAAAUAUUUCUUUGAUCUUUUAAAAUUGACAUGCAAAUCUUCAAUUCACUUUUCAAUUUCAUUUUUUCUUCAUUUUUUAUUGUAUUGAUAAUCAAUACCAAUAAAAAUUGAUCAAUUUCUUCUGAAUAUGGUGUUUUUCUCAAUUAUUUUGUAGUUUUGUAGCCUAACUAAUAUCUGCAAAUAUUCAAUGAACUCUUCUUUUUCAUGUUUUCCCUCGAUACGAACUAUAUUGAUAAUUAGAAAUCUUUAAAAAUUGUCAAAUCUAAUAUAGGCUUUUCCCUCCAAUUAUUGUAUAAUUUUGUAACCAAUUAUCAGUAGAGGGUGCAUCUGAUUAUAACAUAAUUUGAGAUAUAUGGUGAGAAUGAGAAGUAUACGAAGAUUAACGAGUUUGUGAAGUAUUAAGAGAAAGAGAAAGCUACAGAGGAGAUAGCAGAGAAUGUUUAAGGUGAUAGGAUCUGGAAAGAUCUUUGAGGGUAUACUUGUCCUUUUACGUAAUAAUUAAUUCUUAUAUCUACAAUAAUAGUAUUUGAAAAGAUCUUUGAGGGUAUAAUUAUCCUUUUACAUAAUAAUAAUAAUUAAUUCUCAUAUUUUAUUAUAGAUACUUUGUACUUGUUCACAGUAUACGUGGCCUUAUAUUUAACACAACUAUCAAAAUAUCUCUCUCUAGAUAUUUCUAAUAAUGCUUUAAAUAAACUUUUAGAUUUCAUAUUUUCUCUCACAAAGAUUUCAUUUUCUUGCUUACCAAGUUGUUGUUUCGAGGUUGUUCAUGUAAGUUUUUAGUAAAUCAUUCUAACUUCUUCUUUUUCAUUUUUUCUAAAUACUUUCUACCCUACAAAAUAGAUUAAAAUUUAUGCUUUUUAUUAUUAUUAUAUCGUCCAAGAUCUAUUUGUAUUAUCACUACAUCAUUAAGUCUAUCAUAUUUUAUCUUUAAUUGAUUUUUGGUAAGUCUUAAUUUUUUUUAAUCAAGGUGUAUAUAAAUAUCUAUUUAUCUAAUAAUGUAUGAGGUUUUCAUGGUUUAUAUUGUUUCAACAUGAUAAGGAGAUUGAACUAGCUUCACCCUGGAAUGAAAGAUUGGAUGACAACAACUCAAAUAAUCAAACAAAUGCUAUAGAUUUCUUUUUUUAUGUUUAUUUGAUGUGGAUUUUAAAGGAUUUAAAUUUGAAAUGUUGAAUUUAUUCUACACAAGUUUGUAUAACUUUAAUUUGACAUUAAUUUAAACGAAGCUAAUUAAUAUAAAUUUAUUUAAUGAAAUUUGAUUUGUCUUAAA